GGGUUGUGAGGUUAAGCGACUAAGCGUACACGGUGGAUGCCCUGGCAGUCAGAGGCGAUGAAGGACGUGCUAAUCUGCGAUAAGCGCCGGUAAGGUGAUAUGAACCGUUAUAACCGGCGAUUUCCGAAUGGGGAAACCCAGUGUGAUUCGUCACACUAUCAUUAACUGAAUCCAUAGGUUAAUGAGGCGAACCGGGGGAACUGAAACAUCUAAGUACCCCGAGGAAAAGAAAUCAACCGAGAUUCCCCCAGUAGCGGCGAGCGAACGGGGAGGAGCCCAGAGCCUGAAUCAGCAUGUGUGUUAGUGGAAGCGUCUGGAAAGGCGCGCGAUACAGGGUGACAGCCCCGUACACAAAAGCGCAUGUGCUGUGAGCUCGAUGAGUAGGGCGGGACACGUGGUAUCCUGUCUGAAUAUGGGGGGACCAUCCUCCAAGGCUAAAUACUCCUGACUGACCGAUAGUGAACCAGUACCGUGAGGGAAAGGCGAAAAGAACCCCGGCGAGGGGAGUGAAAAAGAACCUGAAACCGUGUACGUACAAGCAGUGGGAGCCCCACCACUAAGCCAGUGGUGAACUCCACAUACGCAUCCUUUGCUGAGGAUACGGUUAACGGAGCGAAAGCGACGUUCAACCUCAAAAGAAGCAGAGGGGGCUUAGUGGUGGGGUGACUGCGUACCUUUUGUAUAAUGGGUCAGCGACUUAUAUUCUGUAGCAAGGUUAACCGAAUAGGGGAGCCGGAGGGAAACCGAGUCUUAAUUGGGCGUUAAGUUGCAGGGUAUAGACCCGAAACCCGGUGAUCUAGCCAUGGGCAGGUUGAAGGUUGGGUAACACUAACUGGAGGACCGAACCGACUAAUGUUGAAAAAUUAGCGGAUGACCUGUGGCUGGGGGUGAAAGGCCAAUCAAACCGGGAGAUAGCUGGUUCUCCCCGAAAGCUAUUUAGGUAGCGCCUCGUGAAUUCAUCUCCGGGGGUAGAGCACUGUUUCGGCUAGGGGGCCAUCCCGGCUUACCAACCCGAUGCAAACUGCGAAUACCGGAGAAUGUUAUCACGGGAGACACACGGCGGGUGCUAACGUCCGUCGUGAAGAGGGAAACAACCCAGACCGCCAGCUAAGGUCCCAAAGUCAUGGUUAAGUGGGAAACGAUGUGGGAAGGCCCAGACAGCCAGGAUGUUGGCUUAGAAGCAGCCAUCAUUUAAAGAAAGCGUAAUAGCUCACUGGUCGAGUCGGCCUGCGCGGAAGAUGUAACGGGGCUAAACCAUGCACCGAAGCUGCGGCAGCGACGCUGAUGCGUUGUUGGGUAGGGGAGCGUUCUGUAAGCCUGCGAAGGUGGCCUGUGAGGGUUGCUGGAGGUAUCAGAAGUGCGAAUGCUGACAUAAGUAACGAUAAAGCGGGUGAAAAGCCCGCUCGCCGGAAGACCAAGGGUUCCUGUCCAACGUUAAUCGGGGCAGGGUGAGUCGACCCCUAAGGCGAGGCCGAAAGGCGUAGUCGAUGGGAAACGGGUUAAUAUUCCCGUACUUGGUGUUACUGCGAAGGGGGGACGGAGAAGGCUAUGUUGGCCGGGCGACGGUUGUCCCGGUUUAAGCGUGUAGGUGUGUGUUCCAGGUAAAUCCGGUUCACUUUAACACUGAGGCGUGACGACGAGGCACUACGGUGCUGAAGCAACAAAUGCCCUGCUUCCAGGAAAAGCCUCUAAGCAUCAGGUAACAUCAAAUCGUACCCCAAACCGACACAGGUGGUCAGGUAGAGAAUACCAAGGCGCUUGAGAGAACUCGGGUGAAGGAACUAGGCAAAAUGGUGCCGUAACUUCGGGAGAAGGCACGCUGACACGUAGGUGAAGUGAUUUACUCAUGGAGCUGAAGUCAGUCGAAGAUACCAGCUGGCUGCAACUGUUUAUUAAAAACACAGCACUGUGCAAACACGAAAGUGGACGUAUACGGUGUGACGCCUGCCCGGUGCCGGAAGGUUAAUUGAUGGGGUCAGCGCAAGCGAAGCUCCUGAUCGAAGCCCCGGUAAACGGCGGCCGUAACUAUAACGGUCCUAAGGUAGCGAAAUUCCUUGUCGGGUAAGUUCCGACCUGCACGAAUGGCGUAAUGAUGGCCAGGCUGUCUCCACCCGAGACUCAGUGAAAUUGAACUCGCUGUGAAGAUGCAGUGUACCCGCGGCAAGACGGAAAGACCCCGUGAACCUUUACUAUAGCUUGACACUGAACAUUGAGCCUUGAUGUGUAGGAUAGGUGGGAGGCUUUGAAGUGUGGACGCCAGUCUGCAUGGAGCCGACCUUGAAAUACCACCCUUUAAUGUUUGAUGUUCUAACGUGGACCCGUUACCCGGGUUGCGGACAGUGUCUGGUGGGUAGUUUGACUGGGGCGGUCUCCUCCUAAAGAGUAACGGAGGAGCACGAAGGUUGGCUAAUCCUGGUCGGACAUCAGGAGGUUAGUGCAAUGGCAUAAGCCAGCUUGACUGCGAGCGUGACGGCGCGAGCAGGUGCGAAAGCAGGUCAUAGUGAUCCGGUGGUUCUGAAUGGAAGGGCCAUCGCUCAACGGAUAAAAGGUACUCCGGGGAUAACAGGCUGAUACCGCCCAAGAGUUCAUAUCGACGGCGGUGUUUGGCACCUCGAUGUCGGCUCAUCACAUCCUGGGGCUGAAGUAGGUCCCAAGGGUAUGGCUGUUCGCCAUUUAAAGUGGUACGCGAGCUGGGUUUAGAACGUCGUGAGACAGUUCGGUCCCUAUCUGCCGUGGGCGCUGGAGAACUGAGGGGGGCUGCUCCUAGUACGAGAGGACCGGAGUGGACGCAUCACUGGUGUUCGGGUUGUCAUGCCAAUGGCACUGCCCGGUAGCUAAAUGCGGAAGAGAUAAGUGCUGAAAGCAUCUAAGCACGAAACUUGCCCCGAGAUGAGUUCUCCCUGAGACUUUAAGUCUCCUGAAGGAACGUUGAAGACGACGACGUUGAUAGGCCGGGUGUGUAAGCGCAGCGAUGCGUUGAGCUAACCGGUACUAAUGAACCGUGAGGCUUAACCUUACAACGCCGAAG
RNAcentral lists this ribosomal RNA (3028 nucleotides) under Salmonella enterica subsp. enterica serovar Senftenberg. RNAcentral's name for it is "23S ribosomal RNA". It matches the Rfam family "Bacterial large subunit ribosomal RNA". Lineage: Bacteria; Pseudomonadati; Pseudomonadota; Gammaproteobacteria; Enterobacterales; Enterobacteriaceae. The record is from RNAcentral.